GACGUAGGGCGCGAGCGUUGUCCGGAUUUAUUGGCGUAAAGGGCUCGUAGGCGGUUUGUCGCGUCGGGAGUGAAAACUCAGGGCUCAACCCUGAGCGUGCUUCCGAUACGGGCAGACUAGAGGUAUGCAGGGGAGAACGGAAUUCCUGGUGUAGCGGUGGAAUGCGCAGAUAUCAGGAGGAACACCGGUGGCGAAGGCGGUUCUCUGGGCAUUACCUGACGCUGAGGAGCGAAAGCAUGGGGAGCGAACAGG
RNAcentral lists this ribosomal RNA (252 nucleotides) under uncultured bacterium. RNAcentral describes it as "partial 16S ribosomal RNA". It matches the Rfam family "Bacterial small subunit ribosomal RNA", at positions 524 to 776 of the family's 1533-position model. The record is from RNAcentral.